RNAcentral lists this ribosomal RNA (446 nucleotides) under uncultured bacterium. Its description in RNAcentral is "partial 16S ribosomal RNA". It matches the Rfam family "Bacterial small subunit ribosomal RNA", at positions 338 to 795 of the family's 1533-position model. The record is from RNAcentral.
CCUACGGGGCGCAGCAGUCGAGAAUCAUUCACAAUGGGGGAAACCCUGAUGGUGCGACGCCGCGUGGGGGAAUGAAGGUCUUCGGAUUGUAAACCCCUGUCAUGUGGGAGCAAAUUAAAAAGAUAGUACCACAAGAGGAAGAGACGGCUAACUCUGUGCCAGCAGCCGCGGUAAUACAGAGGUCUCAAGCGUUGUUCGGAAUCACUGGGCGUAAAGCGUGCGUAGGCUGUUUCGUAAGUCGUGUGUGAAAGGCGAGGGCUCAACCCGCGGACGGCACAUGAUACUGCGAGACUAGAGUAAUGGAGGGGGAACCGGAAUUCUCGGUGUAGCAGUGAAAUGCGUAGAUAUCGAGAGGAACACUCGUGGCGAAGGCGGGUUCCUGGACAUUAACUGACGCUGAGGCACGAAGGCCAGGGGAGCGAAAGGGAUUAGAUACCCGAGUAGUC